Long non-coding RNA from Triticum aestivum (bread wheat), 748 nucleotides. RefSeq lists it as uncharacterized. Lineage: Eukaryota; Viridiplantae; Streptophyta; Magnoliopsida; Poales; Poaceae. The transcript has 3 exons. The record is from RefSeq and is a predicted model, not a curated record.
CAGUCCCUGUUGACUACAAUGUAACCAUGCAUCGGCAGCAUAAAUUGCAGCAGUUCUUAAUCAGUUGAAAAAAACAACCUGAUCAAUCUUGCUUCAGAUUAUGUUUCUAUUGCUAUUGCAGCCUGAGGUCCAUCCCCCGUCACCCCUCCUCUCAAGCCGCUACGGUGGCCUAUAUGUUUUAGCGGGUUCCGUCACGCCGGGCUGCCCCAGUACUUGACCCAGGGUUUGGUGGGCGAGCUCACUACCAUCCUCCCGGUGGUCUUCUUCCUCGCUUGAUUCUUGGGCACCCCAUCUAUUCUGGACGAGCACCUUCCAGUGGUGGGUGAGGAUAUCUGGCACGAACCACGCGCCGAGAGGAUCUCAACUUCUGCUGCCUCUGCACGCCCUAGGCCUAAUCUCACCAAACUUUGCUACACUUCACAUAAUGAGGGAAGGAGGAUGCGUCCAUCGCAACACUCAAGAAAAUCAGAUGACAAGGUGUUUGGAGCAAGCUACUCAUAGCCAACUACAUAGUUUGGUAAAAUGCUGUAUUAAAGCAUUGUAAAUAAAUAACUUAUAUGACCUGCUUUUGGUAUAUAGUACGGAACCUUGAUCUUCAGGUAUUUCAUGCUACAAUUGUUAACAAAUGCACCAAUGGUUUGUAACGAGAUUUGAUGUUUUGAAUUGGACCAUAACUGUUGUAAGUAAAUAUUAUCUUCUGCUUUUUGAGUAAUACUACCAGGUGUUGGAUUGUUAGACUGAAUAAAUA